ACUGGGCCUCGAGGGAUGGCAGGUGUGGCUACCAUGUCACACGUCCGUUAGUAGGCAGCAGAGAGGAAUGAGACUGUGUCUAUGCUCAGUGUCCUGAUCUCUGAACAUCUGAGCAAUCAGUAGCCUAACACG
Molecule: small nucleolar RNA, 132 nt
Organism: Grammomys surdaster
Lineage: Eukaryota; Metazoa; Chordata; Mammalia; Rodentia; Muridae
Product: small nucleolar RNA SNORA17
Exons: 1
Source: RefSeq, a predicted model, not a curated record